AUACAGAGGGUGCGAGCGUUAAUCGGAAUUACUGGGCGUAAAGCGCGCGUAGGCGGCUUGGUCAGUCGGAUGUGAAAGCCCUGGGCUCAACCUGGGAAUUGCAUUCGAUACUGCCAAGCUAGAGUAUGGGAGAGGGAAGUGGAAUUUCCGGUGUAGCGGUGACAUGCGUGGAUAUCGGAAAGAACACCAGUGGCGAAGGCGACUUCCUGGCCCAAUACUGACGCUGAGGUGCGAAAGCGUGGGGAGCGAACAGGAUUAGAAACCCUAGUAGUCC
This 274-nucleotide ribosomal RNA is filed under the name uncultured bacterium. RNAcentral's name for it is "partial 16S ribosomal RNA". It matches the Rfam family "Bacterial small subunit ribosomal RNA", at positions 523 to 796 of the family's 1533-position model. The record is from RNAcentral.